GUGCCUAAAUUUAAUGAGUAAGGAAAACCAUGUUGGUUUUGCUAAUCGCUCGUCUGGCUGUGCUUCUAAGGCAGUGGGAUGACGUUCAUCGGUAUCGCUUUUUCAUUUAGUGGUUCGAAAGAUAUGGGGUCCCAUAUGAAGCGUAAAUUUUUGGAAGGGCACAGCUCGUCAUCCCAUUGGAUUCUUUCUAGCUUUGGAGUCCACGGGAGGCGAUCUGCCCU
Molecule: non-coding RNA, 221 nt
Organism: Glossina fuscipes fuscipes
Lineage: Eukaryota; Metazoa; Arthropoda; Insecta; Diptera; Glossinidae
Source: Rfam